Molecule: ribosomal RNA, 305 nt
Filed under: uncultured bacterium
Lineage: Bacteria
Description: bacterial SSU rRNA
Rfam family: Bacterial small subunit ribosomal RNA
Source: RNAcentral
GAAGUCCUACGGGGGGCAGCAGUGAGGAAUAUUGGUCAAUGGCCGGAAGGCUGAACCAGCCAAGUCGCGUGAGGGAAUAAGGCCCUAUGGGUCGUAAACCUCUUUUGUCAGGGAGCAAAGGCGUCCACGUGUGGACGAGAGGAGAGUACCUGAAGAAAAAGCAUCGGCUAACUCCGUGCCAGCAGCCGCGGUAAUACGGAGGAUGCGAGCGUUAUCCGGAUUUAUUGGGUUUAAAGGGUGCGUAGGCGGAGUGUCAAGUCAGCGGUAAAAUUUCGGGGCUCAACCUCGCUCCGCCGUUGAAACUG